CUGGCUCAGAACGAACGCUGGCGGCAGGCCUAAUACAUGCAAGUCGAGCGCAUCCUUCGGGAUGAGCGGCGGACGGGUGAGUAACGCGUGGGAAUAUGCCCUUCUCUAAGGAAUAGCCUCUGGAAACGGAGAGUAAUACCUUAUACGCCCUUCGGGGGAAAGAUUUAUCGGAGAAGGAUUAGCCCGCGUUAGAUUAGGUAGUUGGUGGGGUAAUGGCCUACCAAGCCUACGAUCUAUAGCUGGUUUGAGAGGAUGAUCAGCCACACUGGGACUGAGACACGGCCCAGACUCCUACGGGAGGCAGCAGUAGGGAAUCUUAGACAAUGGGGGAAACCCUGAUCUAGCCAUGCCGCGUGUGUGAUGAAGGCCUUAGGGUCGUAAAGCACUUUCGCCAGAGAUGAUAAUGACAGUAUCUGGUAAAGAAACCCCGGCUAACUCCGUGCCAGCAGCCGCGGUAAUACGGAGGGGGUUAGCGUUGUUCGGAAUUACUGGGCGUAAAGCGCACGUAGGCGGAUUAGUAAGUUAGAGGUGAAAUCCCAGGGCUCAACCCUGGAACUGCCUUUAAUACUGCUAGUCUUGAGUUCGAGAGAGGUAAGUGGAAUUCCAAGUGUAGAGGUGAAAUUCGUAGAUAUUUGGAGGAACACCAGUGGCGAAGGCGGCUUACUGGCUCGAUACUGACGCUGAGGUGCGAAAGUGUGGGGAGCAAACAGGAUUAGAUACCCUGGUAGUCCACACCGUAAACGAUGAAUGCCAGACGUCAGCAAGUAUACUU
This 772-nucleotide ribosomal RNA is filed under the name uncultured Paracoccaceae bacterium. Its description in RNAcentral is "bacterial SSU rRNA". It matches the Rfam family "Bacterial small subunit ribosomal RNA", at positions 19 to 838 of the family's 1533-position model. The record is from RNAcentral. Lineage: Bacteria; Pseudomonadati; Pseudomonadota; Alphaproteobacteria; Rhodobacterales; Paracoccaceae.